Non-coding RNA from Paramuricea clavata, 501 nucleotides. The record is from the annotation of a GenBank genome assembly. Lineage: Eukaryota; Metazoa; Cnidaria; Anthozoa; Malacalcyonacea; Plexauridae.
CUAUUUAUAAACAAGUUCUGGAGUAGGUUAACAAGGACGAAUGUCUUUCGCUGACUGCGAUACUAUAGUCUAUUAUCUAUAGUUUAAAAUUUAUUCAGUUCUCCUAUACGUAUCAGUCUGCACAAUUUCCCGUAUAUUAUCCCAAUGUACUGAUCCAUUGCCUGGCAAUCCAUGAGGUAACUUGGCAAAAAGCCAAGGUAUAAUUAUAACAACUAUUUCGAAACUGGCAAACGUCGACUCAUUCACCUUCAUUUGAAGAAUGUUGAGAGAAGGUUUCGGUCAGAAUUCAAAACCUUAAACUUCUAGUGAAACCUCUCGUUUCAAUGCUUGCUUUCCUCCCUUCUUCUUUCCCUGCAAAUUUCUGAUACCUUUCAAUAUUUUAUUACGAUGUCCGACCAAAUUUAUUCCCAUCUCCUUCAGAUCGUCUUCUUUGAUCCCGUAUAGCUCACAAGGUCUCUGAUAUCCCGCUGCUGUAAAAUUUUUCACGUAUUCUUCCAUUUU